CUGAAGACGCGUUUUUGACGAUUAUCUUUAAUCGUUGCUUAUUGAUUCCACUCGCAAGAAUUUUAAGUUUAUAAAGCAGUAUGGAUAGCCAACAUUUUAAUGAUAUACAGUUUUAUUUAAAUGAUGAAGUCAUAAACAAUUACAUGGAUUUAAUUAAUAAACGUUAUUUAAACGUUUAUUGCUUUGAAACAUAUUUUUAUGUAAGUCUCUGUUCAAGAGGAUAUGAUGGUGUUAAACGUAUUGUAAAAAAACUAAAAUUUGAUUUAUUUUCAAAAAAAAAACUUUUAUUUCCUAUUCAUUUAAAAAGUCACUGGACCUUGGUCUGUGUAAACCUUGAAUCCAAAGAAGUUCAAUAUUAUGACAGUCUCCAAGGUCGUAAUAUUGCAAGUCAAGAGACUAUAUUCAAAUUUUUAAAUAACGCACAUCUCGAAAUUAAUGGAUCACCAUUAUAUGCAGAAGGUUGGAAACUAAUAACUGUACAAAAUAUCCCUUAUCAGAAGAAUGGGUAUGAUUGUGGAGUUUUUUUAUGUACCUAUGCUGAAUAUUUAGCAAGAGGUGUCACAUUCAAUUUUUCCCAGAAAAACAUGUUAUCGUUUAGACAAUUAAUUGCAUACGAGCUAACAGUGAAUAGGUUAGUGGAUGUAAAUGUCGAUGCAAAAGAUAUAGAUUCGUUCAUCAUGAGUGUUAUAAGCUCAUGAUAAAAAAUCUAUGUUGUAAAAAUUAAUUGUUAUACCCAUUGAUUUUCACUGGGAGUUAAUAUACUUAAUGUUGUCUAAACACUCUGAAUGAGUUUUUUUGUGAAAAGUUGAGUAUGAUACAACUGGUUGUGCUCAUUGCUCAGUAAAUAUUCAGCUUCAGUACAUGCCUAUAACCUAUAGGUUAUAACCAUUCUUUUGACAAGGGAUAUCAAACACAUCAAUAAAAUAUCAUACUAAAUUCCAAUUGAAUAUAGUAAUACACAUACAAGGAUCCAAUGAUUAUUGUUUUUUAAAUUAAUAGGAAAAGUUAUUUUUUUUUUUUAAAUUAUCAGAUUUUUUUUUUUUGUCAGACGUUUAACAGAGGAAUAGGCUUUCUUUUAGUGAGGUUUCAAUAAAAGAUGUGUCAAAUCAUAUAUAGUGUUUAAAGUAUGUGCUGUUAUCAGAUUCAUGUAAUUGUUUAUAACAUUAAUUGACAUUUAUCUAAAAUCAUUUUCCACAAAUGAUGCUAACACUGGAAAAAUUAGUUAUCAUUUGCAAAAACCAAAUUUUACAUCAAUGGUCAUCAUUGCGAUGUUCCAGUCAUACUUCUAGCCUUUGAAAAUUCCACAUAUGCAGGAUAACUAGUUUAUUCUGAGAACUCAUGGCUAGUAUCACAGACCAAUUUUCAUGUCGUAAAGUCGGUACAGUGAAGAAAAGAAGAAAACAUGACAUUUCAUUUCACUUUUUUUUAUCUGUUACGGUGAUGGUUCGUUGAUGUAUAUGUCCCUACAAAAAUAAUUUUCAUGAACUUAAUUCACACUUUGUUUAAUGCUUUAUCAACAAUCAUUAUUAAGUGCUAGUAAUUCUGCAAUUGGAUAGUAUUUAAUGAGUACUAAACUUGGAAUGUCUGACAUGUAUCUUGCUACAACCGUUACAGAACUAAGAAUUGUAGAAAAAAUUUAUUUAGCAUACUCAUGAUAUUCAUGGCAAUUUUAUUUGACGAAGAUUUUUGGUUGUGUGGUAUUGAACAGUGAACCACUAGUUUGAUUUCAAUUAUCCAUGAGUUUUCCAUUAGAAGACAUAGGUAAACUACAGCAAAUUAAAAUAAUUAGCCAAUUUUAAAUUUAUAUUUAUUGUUUUUAAUUAUUACCAGUAACCCAUUUUUUUUUUUUUAAGUAUCGAGCAA
Long non-coding RNA from Rhopalosiphum padi (bird cherry-oat aphid), 1863 nucleotides. RefSeq lists it as uncharacterized. The transcript is spliced from 5 exons. The record is from RefSeq and is a predicted model, not a curated record. NCBI's taxonomy places the organism in Eukaryota, Metazoa, Arthropoda, Insecta, Hemiptera, Aphididae.